This is a long non-coding RNA of Sceloporus undulatus (fence lizard), 335 nucleotides long. RefSeq lists it as uncharacterized. Lineage: Eukaryota; Metazoa; Chordata; Lepidosauria; Squamata; Phrynosomatidae. The record is from RefSeq and is a predicted model, not a curated record. The transcript has 3 exons.
GAGAAGGAGGAGGAGGAGGAGGAGGAAGAGGAAGAAGAAGAAGAAGAAGAAGAAGAAGAAGAAGAAGAAGAAGAAGAAGAAGAAGUUGAUGCUUCCUGAAUGUGCACACAUGAACACACAAAGCUUCCCAUUCCUUUCUGCAGCUUUGCUUGAAACAUCAUAAAAGAUGAAGCUCAAACAAAAAAACUUACAUGGUUUAAAGAGAUCCCAAGAGGUACCAAAGGCACCAUACUUGAUGAUGUCACCUCCGAGAGGCACCAUUCAUUUUGUAUGCUGGGAAGGAGUUGUAGGUUUAUCAUCAGCAUAACAAUGCUUACAAUCUAAGAAGACAUGAC